RNAcentral lists this long non-coding RNA (382 nucleotides) under Zostera marina. RNAcentral's name for it is "long non-coding RNA (ZMAR_LNC001808)". The record is from RNAcentral. Lineage: Eukaryota; Viridiplantae; Streptophyta; Magnoliopsida; Alismatales; Zosteraceae.
UUAUAUAUUGACGAAAGUGUUUAAUUUAGUAAUUUACAACGAGUUUAUUUUUUGCGAAUUUAAUAUUAAAUUAUUGCUAAUUGAUUGUAUCUCUAAUCUCUAUGACUGUAUAAAAAAAAAGGUGAUAAGGCAUCGCUGCACCAAUCAUUCCAAAACUCCCAUUUCCAAUCACUCUGGGAAGUAUUUGAUACACAACGGCUUUCUCAACUGAAUAUUCUGAAAUGGGUUUUACAGUUAAUCAAAAAUUUUUAUCUGUAAUUCUUCAUAGAAAUUCAAAGUCUCACCACCACCGUUCCCUUUAUCCUCUCUUUCCGACUAUCAAACGAAAACAGAGAACAUAUCCCAUCUCUGCAGUCCAAUCCUACCAUGUUGAGUUCCAGAC